Molecule: long non-coding RNA, 1075 nt
Filed under: Equus caballus (horse)
Lineage: Eukaryota; Metazoa; Chordata; Mammalia; Perissodactyla; Equidae
Description: lncRNA (ENSECAG00000043942.1)
Source: RNAcentral
GGAAGAUUGGCCCUGAGCUAACAUCUGUCACCAGUCUUUCCUCUUUUUGCUUGAGGAAGAUUGUUCCUGAACUUACAUCUGAGGCAAUCUUCCUCCAUUUUGUAUGUGGGGUGCCGCCACAGUGUGACUUGAUAAGUGGUAUGUAGGUCUGUGCCCAGGAUCUGAACCUGCGAACCCCAGUGGCGCAGCAGUUAAGUGCACAUGUUCUGCUUCAGCGGCCAGGGGUUCGCCAGUUUGGAUCCCUGGCGCGGACAUGGCACCGCUUGGCACGCCAUGCUGUGGAAAGCGUCCCACAUAUAAAGUAGAGGAAGAUGGGCAUGGAUGUUAGCUCAGGGCCAUUCUUCCUCAGUAAAAAGAGGAAGAUUGGCAGCAGUUAGCUCAGGGCUAAUCUUCCUCAAAAAAAAAACAAAACUAAAAACCUCAAGUUAGUUUGAAUGGACUGUGUUGUUGGACCGUAUUUCUUUUCUUUUCUGUUUUUUGCUGAAGAAGAUUAUCUCUGAGCUAACAUUGGUGCCAGUCUUCCUCCAUUUUAUAUGUGGGUCACCACCAUGGCAUGGCUGAUGAGUGGUAUAGGUCUGCACCUGGGAUCUGAACCCACAAACACAGGCUGCCAAAGUGGAGCAUGCUGAACUUAACCACUAUACCACUGGGUCAGCCCCUGGACUGUAUUUCUUGAAUGUGAGAACUCCUAGGACCUGAACUGUGUGGUCACAGCUUUCUUGUACUCUGAUCCUGAGGGGCUGGGCAUGAGUAUUAACUGAGUAACAUAUCUGAAGGGCAUAUGGCAGUUGGUAGGGGUCCUGUAAAUGUUAGUUUUCUUCUGUGUAGGAAUAUUGGGCAUGUGUGGCUGUCUGAGAGCAAGUCCAACACUCCAAACUCCAUCCCAAGAGGCCACAUUGCUGUUCUUACUCUCACUCCACCCCUCUGCUUUGGGAGAGAGAGCGAGGGGCUACCCUCCCUGCAAUUUCACAAAGGCUGGCUUAGCAUCCUUACUCUGCAUAUCAUGGUUUUCAGCCUUCACAAAUUCCACACACAAGAGAAAGUUGUGGUUUGAGGAGUCUGAAAAAGUAUAGGC